GAAUGAUAAAACCAUAGAAGACUCUGAUGAUGUGCAAAGGAGCACACAAUCAGAUGAAGGGCAUGUGUUACUAAUCGAACCAUUCUAUGGUGGAUCUCACAAGCAGCUGGUUGAUCUGCUGGUCCAGAAAAUACCUGGCUGUGUCAAAUUCUGUCUGCCAGCAAAGAAAUGGCAUUGGAGAGUAAGGACGAGUGCCUUGUACUUUGCCCAAUGUAUAUCUGAAGUGCAUCAGUAUCGCAUUUUAUUUUCCAGUUCUGUUUUGAACUUGGCGGAAUUAAUAGCCUUAAGACCAGACCUUACUGAUCUCAAAAAAGUGCUGUAUUUCCAUGAAAAUCAGUUAGUCUAUCCUGUGAGAAAGCAGCAAGAGAGGGACUUCCAAUAUGGAUAUAACCAAAUUAUUUCCUGUUUAGUUGCAGAUGUUGUUGUAUUCAAUUCUGAAUUCAACAUGAAUUCAUUCCUAACUUCUGUGGAUUCAUUCCUCAAACUUAUUCCUGAUCACAGACCAAAAGGAAUUUCAGAUCAAAUCAAACCAAAAUGCAGAGUCCUCUAUUUCCCAAUUCCUCAGAUCACUUGCAACACAAGGCUGUCAAGACCAAAUGAUCACCCACUUCAUAUUCUAUGGGCUCAUCGAUGGGAACAUGACAAGAACCCUGAAUCAUUCUUUGAUGCUAUUUUUCAUUUGUUAGAGGAAAAACUUGAUUUCAAAGUGUCAGUCAUAGGAGAAACAUUUUCGGAAGUCCCCAGCAUAUUUGCUGAAGCAAAGACACGUCUAGGAUACAAAGUCAUAAACUGGGGGUAUCAACAAUCACGUGAAGACUAUGAAGCUGUCCUAAUGGAUGCUGAUCUUGCAGUCUCCACAGCUCGACAUGAAUUUUUUGGUGUCGCAAUAGGCUGUACAGCUAGGCUGUUAUCCUCUCUGCCCCAACAACCUGGCAUACCCAGAGAUAUUUCCGGAUGUUUACCUCUACUCAACUCAACAACAGCUUGCUAAGAAGCUUCGCUACUUCUGUAAGAACCCUGGCUUUGUCAGGAACCAUACGUUAAAGGUUGAUGUCAGUCGUUUCAGCUGGGAGAAUCUUGGCAAAGAUUAUCAGAAUUUAUUGAGUUAAACAGAAUGUAGGCUGUGAUUAAGCUACCAGACUGAAGGG
This is an unclassified non-coding RNA of Actinia tenebrosa (Australian red waratah sea anemone), 1148 nucleotides long. NCBI's taxonomy places the organism in Eukaryota, Metazoa, Cnidaria, Anthozoa, Actiniaria, Actiniidae. The record is from RefSeq and is a predicted model, not a curated record.